Molecule: ribosomal RNA, 159 nt
Filed under: Gyalolechia desertorum
Lineage: Eukaryota; Fungi; Ascomycota; Lecanoromycetes; Teloschistales; Teloschistaceae
Also listed under: 2 other names
Description: 5.8S ribosomal RNA
Rfam family: 5.8S ribosomal RNA
About the family: 5.8S ribosomal RNA (5.8S rRNA) is a component of the large subunit of the eukaryotic ribosome. It is transcribed by RNA polymerase I as part of the 45S precursor that also contains 18S and 28S rRNA. Functionally, it is thought that 5.8S rRNA may be involved in ribosome translocation.
Source: RNAcentral
AAAACUUUCAACAACGGAUCUCUUGGUUCUGGCAUCGAUGAAGAACGCAGCGAAAUGCGAUAAGUAAUGUGAAUUGCAGAAUUCAGUGAAUCAUCGAAUCUUUGAACGCACAUUGCGCCCCUCGGAACCCCGAGGGGCAUGCCUGUUCGAGCGUCAUUA